This is a long non-coding RNA of Numida meleagris (helmeted guineafowl), 572 nucleotides long. NCBI's taxonomy places the organism in Eukaryota, Metazoa, Chordata, Aves, Galliformes, Numididae. The record is from Ensembl.
GAAUACUCCAUUUGCUCCUUAAAAUAGACACCAUUAUCUGUUGAAUUGGCAGGAGUACAGUGAGAGAAAAAAUAAAUUUUAUCCAUGUUAUUGCUGCCUUUCACUGAUAUGUAGGUCAAAGUGUUCCAAAUAAAACAGAAGAAAACCCUGAGUUCCAGAGCAUUAGACAGAAUUCCCUUUUACAGGCAAAAAGUUGUGGGGGUCCCAAAGCCAUCUAGAUAGGGAGUGCAUUCUACCAGAUACAAAAAUGUGGCAUCUAUGGGGAAAAAAUUUUGGAAAAUAGCUUCUGUGCUCUAUCUAGGAUGUGCUCUUGGCUGGUUUUCUGUUAAUCUGUAUAACAUUCACUCAUUGGGCAAGCAGACAGCCAUGAAUUUUUGCCUUGUAAUGUUUGCAGACAUCCAAGUUGAGGGCAUCUGGAGAGAGGUUCCAUUCAGGAUGCUCAGAAGAAACAGCUCUGCACGCAGGAAGCUGGAGAUCCCAUUUUCUUCUGUUAAUGAGAACAAAGGUAUCUCCUAGCAACCUUUGUCCAGGAGAAGUUAAAUAAAUUGCAGUGAUCCUAUGCUGAUAAUUCA